CAGCGCCACAAGUGGGGACCAUUAUUAUUGGGCCUAAAGCGUUCGUAGCCGGUCAAAUAAAUCUUCUGUGAAAUUGUUUUGCUUAACUUAACAGCUUGCAGGAGACACUGUUUGACUUGAGAUCAGGAGGAGUCAGAGGUAUUUGAGGGGUAGCGGUAAAAUGCAAUAAUCCUUCGAGGACCACCUGUGGCGAAAGCGUCUGACUAGAAUGAUUCUGACGGUGAGGAACGAAAGCCAGGGGAGCGAACCGGAUUAGAGACCCGAGUAGUCC
Molecule: ribosomal RNA, 271 nt
Filed under: uncultured archaeon
Lineage: Archaea
Description: partial 16S ribosomal RNA
Rfam family: Archaeal small subunit ribosomal RNA
Source: RNAcentral